UACCCUGGUAGUCCAUACCGUAAACGAUGAAUGCUAAGUGUUGGAGGGUUUCCCCCUUCAGUGCUGCAGCUAACGCAUUAAGCAUUCCGCCUGGGGAGUACGGCCGCAAGGCUGAAACUCAAAGGAAUUGACGGGGGCCCGCACAAGCGGUGGAGCAUGUGGUUUAAUUCGAAGCUACGCGAAGAACCUUACCAGGUCUUGACAUACUAUGCAAAUCUAAGAGAUUAGACGUUCCCUUCGGGGACAUGGAUACAGGUGGUGCAUGGUUGUCGUCAGCUCGUGUCGUGAGAUGUUGGGUUAAGUCCCGCAACGAGCGCAACCCUUAUUAUCAGUUGCCAGCAUUAAGUUGGGCACUCUGGUGAGACUGCCGGUGACAAACCGGAGGAAGGUGGGGAUGACGUCAAAUCAUCAUGCCCCUUAUGACCUGGGCUACACACGUGCUACAAUGGAUGGUACAACGAGUUGCGAACUCGCGAGAGUAAGCUAAUCUCUUAAAGCCAUUCUCAGUUCUGAUUGUAGGCUGCAACUCGCCUACAUGAAGUCGGAAUCGCUAGUAAUCGCGGAUCAGCAUGCCGCGGUGAAUACGUUCCCGGGCCUUGUACACACCGCCCGUCACACCAUGAGAGUUUGUAACACCCAAAGUCGGUGGGGUAACCUUUAGGAACCAGCCGCCUAAGGUGGGACAGAUGAUUAGGGUGAAGUCGUAACAAGGUAACCA
RNAcentral lists this ribosomal RNA (718 nucleotides) under uncultured Lactobacillus sp. RNAcentral describes it as "bacterial SSU rRNA". It matches the Rfam family "Bacterial small subunit ribosomal RNA", at positions 783 to 1502 of the family's 1533-position model. Lineage: Bacteria; Bacillati; Bacillota; Bacilli; Lactobacillales; Lactobacillaceae. The record is from RNAcentral.